Molecule: ribosomal RNA, 488 nt
Filed under: uncultured bacterium
Lineage: Bacteria
Description: partial 16S ribosomal RNA
Rfam family: Bacterial small subunit ribosomal RNA
Source: RNAcentral
GAUGAACGCUAGCGGCAGGCUUAACACAUGCAAGUCGAGGGGCAGCAUAAUGGAUAGCACUAUCUAUGGUGGCGACCGGCGCACGGGUGCGUAACGCGUAUGCAACCUACCUUUAACAGGGGGAUAACACUGAGAAAUUGGUACUAAUACCCCAUAAUAUCAUAGAAGGCAUCUUUUAUGGUUGAAAAUUCCGAUGGUUAGAGAUGGGCAUGCGUUGUAUUAGCUAGUUGGUGGGGUAACGGCUCACCAAGGCGACGAUACAUAGGGGGACUGAGAGGUUAACCCCCCACACUGGUACUGAGACACGGACCAGACUCCUACGGGAGGCAGCAGUGAGGAAUAUUGGUCAAAGGACGCAAGUCUGAACCAGCCAUGCCGCGUGCAGGAUGACGGCUCUAUGAGUUGUAAACUGCUUUUGUACGAGGGUAAACGCAGAUACGUGUAUCUGUCUGAAAGUAUCGUACGAAUAAGGAUCGGCUAACUCCGUG